This is a long non-coding RNA of Acinonyx jubatus (cheetah), 18619 nucleotides long. RefSeq lists it as uncharacterized. Lineage: Eukaryota; Metazoa; Chordata; Mammalia; Carnivora; Felidae. The transcript has 3 exons. The record is from RefSeq and is a predicted model, not a curated record.
AAUAAUGGGGGAAACCAGGGGGCAUAGGGUAUGAUUAUUAGUAACAAUACUUUGGAUUUGCACAAACUCACUCUCAAUGAACCCUAGGCGGUUCCUACACAUUAGCUCAUUUUUCCUCACCACAGCUGGGCCGGGAGACCUAGAUUCUAUUCUUGGUGCUUCAACAACCUUCUUGGGAAAAGUAUUUAGCCACUAAUUGCCUCAGUUCCCAACUAUGAAAAGGGAAUAAUGAUAUUAGGAUAUUUGCCUCUCCCUGUCUUUAUCCUAGACCUUUAGAACCUAACUAGUAAAAAAAAAAAAAUGUUUUUAAUCUGAAGAGCCUAAAAAGUCUAAAAGAGAAGGAGUGUGGCUUGAUUUUAUUUCCAUUAAUGAAAAGGUGAGAUACAGUGUUAGGAGUUUGACUGGAAACCUUGAAAUCUGAAUUGUAAUCCAGUAUCUGCUUCAUGAUAGACCAUUGCCUUGGAUACCUCUCUCCUUUAUAUUGGAAAGCACUUAGCGAUCCAGCAAUGGUGAAUACUAUAAAAGGGGACUGAUCUUCUAAGGAGCAUUAAUUUGGUCAGCAAAGAUGUCUCUAUGAACCAUGGCAUCAAUAAGACUGAAUUUAAGAUGAGAACACUCUUGGCUUCCAAAGCCUUCCCCUCCCCCCACCUCUCUCCUUCUCCUCACAACCUCCUGGCUAUGUAGCUGUUUCAAAUAUAUAGACAAAUAACUCCAGCCCAAGUCCCUGGCCUAUAUCUUUGGUCUCCUAUCAUCUCUAGACUCUUGGCCUGGCAAUCUCCAUCUUCAAAAGUUCCAGGGGCAGAAAUAAGCCUUUUUGCUUGCCAGCCUAAACCUAAUGACUGAAUGGCAGGGAACCUAGACCAAAAUAGAACUUGGCUCUUAGAUGAUAUGCGUCAGCCAAGAAUAAUGCUUCUUUUUUAAUGUCAGGCUCCAUUCUAUUAGUGCACAGGUAAUAGGGAUCUCAUCCUUUAGGAGGGCCUUGAUUUUCUCUAUUUUUCACUCUCAGUUUACCCACUUAUUGUAUAGGAGUGAAAGCUUCUCUCUUUUACCUGCCUACAUCCAAAAGGCUAUUGAAAUGUACUACUUACAAAUUGGUCAAGUCAGACCCCAAGGCAGUGGGCCAUAGAGUACCUUCCAGAGGGCUUCAUAGACAACAUGGGCUCGUCAGAUAAGUGACAGUCCUUGUAUGGAGUUAAUCUAGAAGCCAAGAAAAGUCCUCUGAAGCUCACCCAAUGAAGCAUAAGGAGGCAACAGAAUUAGUAUACAUAUUCAUAUCAAAAAAUAUUAUUAAAUAAUAUGCUGAAGACUUCUCUCACCAUUGAUUUCCCCUACUAUCCUAAAAGGCUAAGGAAAGCGAAAUAAUUUUUUUUUCUUUUUUACUAGGCAAAAAUUCAAGUCUUUAGCCUGACAUUACUUAACCUGACACUUGGAACUCUUACAGAUUUGGGGUAUAAAAUCUGCCAGAUGACUCCUUUGGAGACCACUGGAGCUUCAGACUGCUUGCACCAAACGCUGCUCCCUACUGGCUCAAAGUCUCGUUGCUUCAGGAAAAUGGUUUUGCUGAUCAAUGCAGAAGGAAGCUUCGUCUUCCUCCCCUUCCUGGGAAUAUCUUUUUGUCAGUUAAUGAGGGACUCUUGCUGAGGGAAUUUAGGUCGUUCCCAUCUAAAGUAUGUUUAGAGUUUGGGGGCUGGAGUCAGGGGGACUGUGGUUAUGCAUCCAGCUGUCCCUUGAGAGUCACGGUCAGCCACCAAGGAUGCAUCUUUAGAAACUUGAGUGGUGUCAAAACUCUGAAUGUGCAUCAAUGCCUGUCAAAGGACGGAUUGAGCGCCAUCAUAUUCUCCCUGCCCGCCCCUAUUGCCCGGAUGAGGUCUCGGAUGGAAGCUAGCCUGCCAAGGAUACCACUUGUACACGCUUCAGUACUCUUUCCUUAGGCAAAUAAGGACUUGUGUAACCUUUUUUCAGAAUACAUAUUAUGAAACUCUGGAGCCUUUCGGUCAUAUGGUCACGAACGAUUUCUAGCUUCUCAACCUCUUUUUUUCUGAAAUGAGGGCAUCUGAGCUCGGUUGCUUAUCUCAGAUCUGGACUUACCCACACACUUUAAAGUGCAAGAGAUCUCCCUCCCUCCCUGCGUGUAGCCCAGAAUAGGCCUUUACAGCCACGUCAUCCUGGACACUUUAUCACUUGAUAUUACCUCCUAAUCCACAGAUCAGUGAGAUUUCAGACAGAAUCUGUCUGGCUCUCAAACAGAAACAGCAUGACUUCAGAACAUUUAGAAUGAAUUAAGCAGACCAAUUUGUUAUUUUUCAGAAACACAAAGGUGGCUAUAAGUGGGACCUCAGCCAGAGUAUGGUCUUAGAAAAUAAGGUUGCAGUUCAUCCUUUAUUAAAUGUUAUUUUAUGUGGCAUCGUACUAAGCGUUCUUCCAAGGGUUAUUUAGACAUGAGCUCUGAUCACUCAAAAAGUUACAAUCAAAGCCACAUCAGCAUAAAGGUUUAUUAAAAACUUUUGCUAUGGGGGUACCUGGGUGGCUCAGUCCAUUCGUUAGGCAUCCAACUUCGGCUCGGGUCAUGAUCUCAUGGUUUGGUUUGUGGGGUCAUGCCCCACGUAGGGCUCUGUGCUGAUGGCUCAGAGCCUGGAACCUGCUUCGGAUUCUGUGUCUUCUUCUCUCUCUGCCCCUCUCCCGCUCGCACUCUGUCUCUCUCUGCCUCUCAAAAAUAAAUAAAUGUUAAAAAAAAAAACUUUUGCUAUAUACCAGGUGCUGAGCUAUAUACCAGAAACACAAUAGCAAUCAUGUGACAACCACCCUCCGCGUUCAUCUUGGAAUUUGGAGCUAGAGACAACAUAGUCUAUGGAUAGUGCCAACACCAGAACAUCGAGUUCUUUCCUCUAGCUAACGGACUUAUACUGCCGAGCACAGUGCCUGACAUACAGUCAAGUACUCAAUAAAUAUUCCUUGGCUAAAAUGAGCUAAUGAAAAGAAUGAAUACAUGUUAAAGUGGAGUAAGUAUAGACUGCUAUGGAAACCACAUCGGAGGAGAAACCAGGCUCGUGGGAGGGGAUGAACUGUGUGGAAAGUGUCAUUUACACAGAGACAAGAGUCAACACAAUGAUAUAAAGGAAAGACCGGGCUCAUGGAGUUCGACCUGGUUCGGAUCCUAGCGCUGCGCUCAGAGCUGGGCAGUUCCAACUAUCCCAAACCUUUGAAAACACUGAUGAUGGCUUUGGAAGACAAAAUGAGAUAUUAUUUGCCUUCGAUAUUAUUCACAUCGAAGAACUCAAGAGCAGCUAGUAAAGGAGUAACAGAGAACAGAACUGCAACGUUAAAGCAAUAAAGACCUGAGGAGUAAGGUUAAGAGCACAAAUACUUUGAGGGAUGGAUGGCAAUGACGAGCUUAAUUUAAAGUCACGGUGGCAGCAGGGAGAGGUGCUCCCGAAGUUCUUAGCUUCUAAGCCCAGACAAGGCUGGGGGGAGGGUAGGUGUCUUACGGGAUUUAUCUUCCUCUUCCAAUCCGUCUGAAGGCUUUCAAAUUCAGCUUUUAGCUGCAAAACCACGUGGGCCCUGCCCGUCACUGUUUACGGUAUGGUAAAUGCCCUUUUCAGAUCAUCAGAUCCUCUUAAAAUAUUGUGACGUGUCGAAGCUCGAGACAGACCAUAUAUGUGUAUAUGUUUAUAUACAGAGACAUGGAAAUACACACAUAAAAAUAUAACCUUUUUCUCUAGAAGGCCUUGCAACAAUUAGCUUCUGUUGCUUUUAUCUUAAAUACCCACAAAUAUACCAGACCCCUUUCUUCUGUGCUUCCUUCCCUCCAUGUCCAUCAGGCCCUUUCCCACUGCAUUCAUAUAGUUAGAUCAGCACGCGCGCGCAUACACACACACACACACACACACACACACACACACCUGUUAUCUACCAGCUUUAGCUUUUUUUAGGUGAGCCUUUGGGAAGUGCCCUGAUCUGAACUGGAUUGUCAAAUAUGUUAAUAUGGGGGCGGGGAGGGGGGAGGGGGAGGAGAAGAUGCUGGCAGCGGACUUUGGGUUUGGGUUUUGGGUCCAUAACAGGAGAUAGAACUAUAGUUUGACAUGCCCCCCCCCCAAAAAAAAUGUCAGACAAGAGAAUGUGAGAGGCCAAAGAAAGGGAAAGGUGGGGGCCAAAAAUGAAAAAAGCUGCUGGACAGGAGAACAUUCUAGACAUAAAAAUUGGAGGAGGGGAGAACUAGAGGUGUUUCGAAUGACAAUGGGGGAGGGAAAGCAGUUGGUUGGGCCUUUGAAAAGGUGCCAGGAACCAAGAGCCAGGGGCAGUGGCAGAGGGGAAGGCCAGGUAGGACAAUUAAAACGGAAAUCUGGCUCCUCACAGCGCAGCUUGAAGCGGGGCUACAGAAUUUGCUGCAGUGGGAGGUGGGGCCAGUCUGGCACAGUCUGUGGGUUUGAAAGGAGCUGGGCGGGUUGGGGAAUGCCAGUCAGCCUUUGUAGUUCUGGGCUUGGGGAGGGGGUGCUGAAUCCUGGGCUUCAGGUCAGAAGCCUGGCUAGGGUGGCUUUGGAGAAAUUUUCCCUCUGCUCCCAAACUCUUAAAAUGCGCUCAUCACUUCACUGGCCUCCAAUCACAGCAUAAACACGUGUCCUGGAGGCUGUCCUCCAGGAGAGGUUCCAGCUCUGGUACCUGUUGGCUCACUGAUGGGGUCCCUCUCCUUUCCGAUUUCCCUAGAUACCCUAAACGGGGCUGAAUACAAUAUCUCUACAUAUGUCCCUUCAUCCUGCCCAAAUGCUUCACAUCUCCCAGACUCCUAGGGUUAAUCCCAGGGACAACCUUGCUUUGAAAGAAAAAAAUGUGGUGAGCCUACUAGAAGAUGUGGAACUCAGAGGCCUCUGUCUGUCCCUGCUUCAGCCAGACCCCAGACAGCCGGCUCAAGGAGAUGGACAUUUACAGAGAAAGAAGCACUGCGUUUCUGCAGGUCUCCCAGUGAGAGACAAAGCACAAUGUCUGAGUUGAGCACAAAGAAGCCACCUUUAAAAAACAUCGACUUAGAGGAAACCUGUGUCCUCAGAUAUCUCCCUCCCUUCCCUGCUAUUUACGGAACCCAGCGUUAUACUUAACACAGCACUGCCUGUUGUCUGCAUGAUUCCGGCCAGCAAACUCGGGUGGAGAUGGCAAUAUACCCACUGUGUGUGUAGAUAGGUAGAGACCCCGAUUUUCAGGAGCUACCUGCUUUCCAGGAUCGAUGUGUAGCCGAGCUCCGAAAACGCGUGCCACCAGAAAUGAUGGGAGACACUCCCCUACUCAACUCAGGGUGUCUUUCAUUUUUAUCUUCUGCCACUUUUUUGUCAUCUGAAUUAUUACUUAUCAUUACCAAGGGGCUGUAGGCUGAUCAGUGGAGUGUGCGUGGAUCUGAUGGACAUUGGAGGAGAAAUACUUCAGAAAGAAGGAAAAUGUCUGCAGUAGAAGUAAAGGGGUAGGAGAAGCCGCAGUGAGUGAUGAGUCCAUUGCAGAAGCCAAGUGGUAAAUCAGUGCAUAUGGCAAAGAUAGUCAAGGAGCAAAGCCUGCCGCUGGAAGGGAAGAGAUUUUUAGCGUUGUCGUCAUCUCAUGCCUGAAUAGAGUGCGUAUUUUAAAUAGGGCUUGGAAUCUCUGCUCUUCGUGCCUCUAAAUGCCGAUUGCAAGGAAGUAUUUGGGGGCUGUUGACUUUCUGUCCGUAAAGAAAACCCAGCAAGGCUCACAGAAUUCUCCACCUGCACGCAUACAGGCAUAGGUGCCCUAAAUGCCCGGUGGGAUGCAGAACCAUUAGGCAGAGGACUGUGCCCUGGUCUCCUCUUCUUCACUCCUUUCUCUCCCCCCCCCCCCACUCCUCCCCUUUCUUUUACCCCUUCUAGAAAACGUGAUACCUGAUCUCUGGGUCUAGCAGGCUGAGGGUUGUUUUGUUGUUGUUGUUGUUGUUGGGUUUUUUUUUUUUUUCUGUAUUCGUAUAAUACAAUGUCUGGCCUUCCCCCUGACCUGCUGGUGUAUUUUUGGUCUCAUUAGCAGUCAGGGAGAUGCCUUAGUGCAUCCGGGGCUGCGAGUCAGGGAUGAGACACUACAACGGAGAGAGCGAGCGAGCGCGAGAGGAUAUUAGAAGGGAGGCUUGUCUCCAAGAAAUGGAAGGAAGUGAGAAAUGACAGGACCACAAGCUUUGUAUGUAGGAGCCUGGCAGGGCGGGGGAGCGGCGGGGAAAGCCAAGUGGUUUCUCAGAAAAGGAGGGAAGCCGUAGAUAGAGCUAACGGUGAUUAGAGGGGGGAUAUUGAUUCCUUAUUCUGCCAGAGAUUUAAGCAGGCAUGCGAGGAAUCUGCACCAUGGUUGGCAAAAGGAGCCUCUGUAACCAGACACUCGGGCUUUCCAGGAGCCCAGGGAGAGAGCUGAGAAGAAAGGGGGCAGUGUGGUCUAGGAAAAUUCAACUUGUCGCUGAUUUGUGCCUGAUGCUUGCUGUCCGUCAGCAGCCUCCCUUACAAUCUUUUUUUCUCUCUCUCUCCCUUUUUUUCUUGCCUUCUCCUUCUUCACUGAAGCCUAGGGGAGCCAGCAAAGAUUAAAUGUGCUUUCUCAAAGGCGGCCACUUCACGCUGCUAUGUCGAAAAGGCCAUUAUUAUUAUUAUUUUUAAUAGUAAAAGAAAAAGGGAGAGAGAGGUUGAGACAGGGAGAGAGAAGCAAGGUAGGUUGAUGACGGACUAGCCUUUCUGAGAGGAAAAGGAAAGUGAGAGAGAAAGGAGAGACCCUGAACUGAACGGAGGAUUGUGCCUGAGAAGAACCUACAGAGCAUGAGCUACAGAGUUACAGUCUCGAGAUUUGGUGUAUCGCUUCCUGCCCCCGCCUCCCUCCCCGCCCCGAUGUCGGUCCUCUGUUGAAACACCUCGCCCAGGCUAGCGCACUGCGAGCUCCCAUUUCCCCCCCUUGCUCGGAAUGGUGUUGCACGAGGGCUGCAGCCCUGCUCCGCUUCCAAUGGGUGAGUUUAAAACGCUAUUCGUAUUUGUACUUCCACGGCCUCCAAGCCCUGUGCCUUGGGUCUUCUCCCUCCGAAAACCUGAUUUUCUAUGAUUUUGCAUGCGGCAUGCUUGCCCAGGGGGAAAGAGAUGCCUCCUAUUUUCUUUACCGUCAUUUGUGCUAGUUGUAAGUUAAAGCUCCAAAAGGACAUUUGAUCCUUCUUUUAGACCUUGGUUUUGAAGACAGGGGCGUUCCUGGGUCUAUGCAUAUGAUUUUCCUUGUAAAACUGGAUGGCCCAAAGCGUCAAAGAGUUUUUUGUUUUGUGUUUUUUUUCUCUGAUAUGCUCGCGAUCGUAUGUUCAGGUACGUAUAUGUGUCCACAGAGAGUGCGUGUGUGCAUAUGAAUGUAUUGUAUUUACGUGGGCUCUAAAUUUUGUGACCUGAGGAAGCUUCGAGAGUGAGGGAAUACCCUGCCACCUGUUUGUGGCCUUUUUGGUCAUGAACCUGGAACAGAACCUGGCUGUGGUUCUUGCUUUGCCUUUGCUUUGUCUCAAGAAAGAACAAUUUUCCUGCGCUCCUCUCAAUCCCUGAGACCCUAACUUGUGAUGUUUACCGUUUAAAUCCACGGGUUAGGCUCUUGGGAGCUGUGAGUCGUGCUUGUGCAUCCUGGAAAUUGGGUGGAACUUCUUUCUUUAAAGCAAAAACAAAAGAAAAGAAAGUUUGUCUGAACUGACGGAGCACAGCUCAGAGGUUUUCAUUGUUAGAUGGGGUCAGGUGAGCAGAAAGUGGCCGCUCUCCUGGAUUUCUGGUGAAGGAGGUAUAGGAGCGUGUUGGCUGCUGUGCGUACGAAUGUGUAUCACUGAUGCCCAAGGCUUGGGGAACUCAUCUACCGUGGUCUGUUUCUUGAGAGCAACACGCAGUACUAUCCGAGCGUAACAAGAACAGCUCAGUACCUGGUGCUUGACCUCAGAACAUAGCAGCUGAAGUCCCAGCAUGCCCCGUGCCUCCAACUUUGAAACUCAACAGUUAAUCUGAAAAUCACGUCCAAUUAAAACGGGCAUGUGGACAUGUUACACACUCAGUCCUCACACGUAUGUGUCACAUAUACGGCCGGACAGUGAGCACACAGACGCAGAUGGGGGCAAACCAGGAGUUUGGGCUAAAAUAGUAGUAGGCUAAAAAUUCGACUCUUGCUACGCUACAGGGAGGAUGAAAUUGAUGGUGUUCAUGAAGAUUACAUCUGUGGUACUUUGCGAGAUUUUAAAAAUAAGAGAGACAGAGCCUGCGUGCUUGGCGUCCGUUUUAAAAUGUUACACGCUGUGAGUUCAAGGGUAAUAGGCAUUGGAAAUAUAUUUUCUGAAUAGAUGAAAGCAAAGAAAUAGCAGCAUGCACACAAUAUGCAAUUAUUGUAUCUUUUAGGAGUAAUCAAGGGGUGGAAAAAUUUAUCAGGAUUUAAAUGUAAUCCAACAAAGUUACUUAUAACACCAAACUGUACCUUUAAAAUAACCUUAAGGUAAUUUGUUAGCAUUACCUCGUCUGCAGUUUUCAGAAAAACGGAACUUUCUGUGACAGAAUAAUUUUAGUGAUUUAGAUCUAUCUCCUAGUUGAAGAAGAGAGACAUUAACUUACCUUUUCUUUGUUGUGAAAAACUCCCAUAUACAAUUUUAUUUAGACAGUUUUGGUAUUCGUGGGCCAACACUUGUCUUGUAUUUUUGGGAAACACCUAAAUCACCCCUGACUUCAAAUGCUUUCUUCUUUUAAAGACUUUGUAUUGGCUGUAACCUCAUUUUAUACGUGUAGUCGAAGAUUAAGGAAACUGUUCUUUUCCUGUGUGUGUGUGUGUGUGUGUGAGUGUGUGUGUGUGUAUGUAUGGGUUUUUUUUUUUUUUUGAGUGUUUAUUGCAAUUUCAGUCAUUGACUCCAAACCGUAGUCAAGAAACCAUUUUGUAUCAGAAAACUGAAUCGAGAAAAUGAAGCGUGCAACAAUUGCACUACGUCUUUUGUUGCGACCUCUCGUGCAGUUGUACUAUUUAAAUAUUACUUUCCAGCCUUGGGAAGCCUGAAUGGGCUUCAGAGAAAAGAGUUAUUUGAUUUUCAAGUCACCUUCGGUUUCUCCACAAUGGAUUAAUGAUUUUUUCCCCAUCGUAAGCUGGUGUGUAUGCAUAGGUAUUUGGAAAUUAUGGAAAGGGAUCUAUUUAACUUAUGGGUCUAUAUUACCACAUGAUGCAUAGCAAAUAUUUGCAAAACAUUUGGUGCUUUACUAAGGCAAAAUCUAUCUGCAGUCAGUUCUAUAAAGAUAGACUCAUGGGCCAAUAAAAACAUGCUGGAUAUCAUUCUUCUAUGAUUUUAAAUGGGAACAGGAUAGUAAUUUAAUACAAGUGAUACAGUUUGUAUUCCAAGGCUCUCUUUUGAUUUUUGGUUUUUUUUUUUUUUUUAACAUGUUUUCAAGUGGAUUGCUCAUGCCCUGAGGUUGCCAUCACAACUGAUCACACGGGCAUUUAGCAAUGCACAACGACGCACAGGAUUUUGAAUUUCAGCAGGGGACUGCUCGAGUGUAAGGGCAGGUUUCUCAACACCCCUUCUUCCUCACCGAGCCCAUCAGCGAAGUUCAGCGAAAUGAAUAACAUAAUUGGUGGUUGGUUCAAUCACUACCAGUCCAGACUAGCCCAGACGCAUCAAUUAGAGAGAGCUGUCUUUUAAAGGGGGAGUGCAACCGAAACAAGCCGGGCAUUAUUGAUACCGAUCUUUAAAAGUGCAAAUCCAGCUUGGCAGAUAAAAAAAAAAAAAUGAGGCGGGGAAUGGGGGGGGGCGGUUUGCGUUGCAGGAAGAAAAGAAAAAGACAUGAAGUGGAGCUUUCGGACACAGAAGGACAGGAAGCUUGAGAGAAAAGGAGCGGAUAAUGAGUGAAAUGCAAUGCAACACCUCGUUGGAACACACAGUUACAAUUCAGUUCACAGGGCAUCCUGGUUCACCAUAUUUUUAACUAGAUUCUCCCCCUCCUCCUUUUUUUAUUCCUUUUUUUUUUUUUUUUUUUUUUGCCUCUGUUUCCAAAGAAAUGCCAGCUCUACACCAAGGCAGUUGGAAAUUUAACAGCUUUAGGAAGCUCUGCUGAGAAGAAGGCCAAGUAAUACGAACCAGCCAAAACUCCUUUUGCAACAUUUUUCCCCAAAAGAAAAACACACAAGAUGUUUAUUUUUGAGUCUCUAAUUCUACCUUUUAAAAAAAAAGAAAAAUCAACUGUACUAACGACCAGGACUCAUUUUAAAUCCUGCACCUGGGAACUAAUUUUAUGGGCAAGACACCUUUAGGUAAACAGCUCAUAGUUUUCUGUUGAAUACAGUAAAAUGAUGAAGAAUGUAACAAAAGGCUUUGGUAAUUUGGUGGGGGGGGGGGGGUUGAUGGAUAAAUACCAGAUGAUUUAGAAAGCGUUAGGAACACAUCAAGCCCCAGGGAAAGAAAAUGUUUGAUUGGUAUUAAUUAAAACACUGCUAAUAUAUUCUAAUAAAAUCAAAUUUAACAUUCUAAACUAAUCCGCUUGGUAUGUCAAAGGAAAAGAAAAGUAUUAUCUUAUUUGCAUCUCUGCCAUCCAAACGCAUUUGCUCAUUCAGCAGAAUUAAUUUUUAUCACCAGCCUGUUUAAUCUCCUCGCAGAUUUAGUCAAACUUAUUCUUUCAAACUAAAAGGGAUCAGGGGAGGGAAUCCAUGGAAGGCAUUGGGAAGACUAGCGACUGUAUUUAGUACUGGCUUUAUAUUUUACCACGUCCUUUCCUCUUCAUUCCCUGUACUGGGGUGUGGAGGAACCCACCAUGCUGCAGGGUGGGGAGGGGGGGUGAGGGAUGGUUAAUUUUCCUCCCUUUCUCUUCUACCUACUGGGUUAUUGGGGAAUUUCAGUUGCCAGAUUAUUUGAGUGGCAUUUAUUUCCACGACCGAUGUUGCUCCGUUGAUUAAGAUCUCAUUUAUUUCUAAUUUCAGAAUCUAUUUUGUUACAAAUUCGUGAUGCGUUGGGGGGGGGGGGGUGAGGAGAAAAGGCUUUUGCACUACAUGCCAAUUUCCUCUUCUCAAUUCUUUGCAACUGUAGUCCUCCUAGGAGAAAGUGGGGAGGUGGAUGUAAAAUUCUAUUUACUAAGAGCUGAGUUCUUUGUUUCCUUUUUAAGUCGGAAUGUCUGCAGCAAAAUGUAUAUUUUCCGAAACGGCGAGUUUUGGGCUCUUGAUUGUUAAACUCUCACAAUGGAUAAAACUGUCCCCAAAUGACAUCACGGCCAAAAUGUUUCUCCUCUCAUUAGCCUCUCAUGACUACGAUAUCCUAUGGAAAGAUGUGCCCAACACAAAAAAAUGAAUGGGCCGUAAAUAUGGAGGGCCGCGUUGGCGUCUUUCAAAAGUGGGGGAUUUUGCCCACUUAUCAAGGGGAUGGAAACUACCAGACGACAGUCCUGAUGAUGCUGCCUUUUUUGCUCCAUUGCCUUUUUCAGUUCUUCAACGCAAAAGAGCAGUCGCAGUUCGGUUUCACAUGUAUUGUUCUAUAAUCCAGGCAAUAAAUGCUAAUUAGUAAUGCUCAAGGAUCCGACCAUUCAGAGUAAUUAUCAUAAUUUACUUCUUCCUUGUUAAAGACAUUCCUUGCUGAUUAAAAAAAAAAAAAAAGAUUAAAUCGUUUUACCAUUGCAUUGCAGUGGAAAUGCAGUGGGGAGAGGUCCAAGGUAUAGUAAUACCAUCCUGGCUGCGUUUGAAGUCGCCAACAUGUGCCUUUUAACUUAUUCCAAAUGGAAUUGCAACUUAAUUGCUAAAAAGAGAUUCAUGUAAAUGCAUAAAGUUUUGCAUGGGCACCAGGAAUGUAUGAUUUUAUUUUACAAACCCCAGGCUCCUCCUUCCCGGCCCACCCCCUUUCUAAAACCACUUACUGAGUAGAACAAAGGAAACUGGUAGCUAUAGAGGCAUCAUUAAGUGUGAACAGCAGUAGCAUGAUAAAGUAUGUGAUAUGACAACAUAUUUCAUUGCACAAAAGUGCAGAUAAUUAAAUAAUUCAAUAGUAACCCUGACUAAUUAGCAGAAAGAUCUUCAAGGAGGAAUCAAGAAAAUGGAUCCAAUCAACUCGAAUAAUACGCUCCACUCUCCAAGAUCACAAAUAUAUAUUUGGUUAUUCGAUAACUGAUUGAUUCAUACAGAAAGAUGAGGACAAAAGCCUGUUCCUCAAAAUGGAGCUUUGAUCUGGCUUCCUUUUUCGGACAGAUUAAUCGUAUGUUCUAUAAGAGCGGAAUUUAACGGAGGGCCCUCUGUUUUCAAUCAAAGAUAUAAUCCGCCAUUCAGUUGCGUAUUUCUCUUUUAUCAGGUGUUCUAAAAAAUCGUCAGCCCCUUAGCUUUUUAUAUCAUUGCCUCAGACUCUACAUGGGAAGCCUCCCCCACGUUUUGUAAUGAGGAUUGUGUUUAAGUUUGUUUCUUCUUGCUGGAAGCAAAUAAGGAUCCUAUGCACAGAAGGCAGAGGAUAAAUAACCAUGCUGAAUAUUAUAUUUGGUGGAAUCUCCCCCCUCCCUUGCCUAAUCUAUCAAGGUAAUAUUCCCAGUUUCAUUGUUCAUUGGUCCUUUCAGGGAGAGCUUCAGCUUUUACUUGAGGGUUGUAAGCACAUUAGAGGAAUAAUUCUCUCUGGAUACUAUGGAGAAGGAGCCACCUGCAAGAUGUUGAUGCUGUUUUUGAAAUCUCAAGUGGAGUCAGCUUUCAAAAAAUUAGAUAUUAGAUACAUCCGAUAUAAUUUGCAAUGUGUAAUUAUACUAAUGUGCAUAUAGUUGUGUGUGGCUUUACAUGUUGCCUACUUGAGAUUCCCGCCUCCCCCCCCCCCUUGGGUAUUGCUCAUCAUUUGAAAUGGCUCCUGACUAGAAUGUUCUUAAAAUCAGCUUUAAAAAAAAAUUCCUCGCUAAUUGAUCUAAGAGAAAAAGGGCUCCACGGUCUGUGUUCCCAUGCAAGAAUGAAUGGAUGUGUGUGACCUUGAUGUUGGAAAGUAAUGGUCUCUAAGAGGGUUAUCAUUGUGGACAUUGGGACUAGUUGUAAAAUAUUUGCUACUCUUUACUGAUUUACUCUUCAUCCAGACUGUGGACAAUUUGUGAAGUGAAUGGAAAAUAUUAGAAUGGUAAAUCUUACUCGUAGGAAAUCCAUUUCCUUUGCUGGGAUGAGAUAAAAUGCCAGGGAAAUGGCUUUAGGCAGAGAUAAUAAUUUGUUGAUUUAAUCAGAGUAACCAAAAUCAUAACGAUAAUAACUUCUUUUCCAUUUUUCCUCCAUUUUGCAUGGCACACGAUGAAUAACUAAAACUCUGCCUUCGGUCAUUUAUGCACUAACCUCAACUUCCCUUUUGGUGUCUCGACGUGGUCUUCCGUUGGACUGAAGACCCCCUCCCCACCAAGGAGCUGACCCCCGAAGAUCUAGCCAUUAAGGAAAAAGCCAGACAGUGCAACAGUGAGUUUGGUCAGCCUGGUGCAAGGCACUUGCUCUACGCUCCAUAGGUGAAGGUGCUCUUGAUGCAAAUUUGGAGAAUCAUUACCAUCAGAUCACGGAGGGACCCUGAGCGAGGCUACGCAAACGUCCCGAUUUAUGCUUAUAUGUUCGGGAGACAAAAAGGAGUCCGAGGGAGGCUCAUGUUGAGAUGAUACAAGCGAUUACUCAUUCCAAUUAAGUAGGCAGAGGCCCCAAAGAAGGCUGAUUUGUUAAACAUUUGACUCAUACUGGACACCAAAAUACGGUGGCUCAUAUUUUUAUACCAUUUGUUCUCAACAGUCAUUUUAAUAAUGGGGCCCAUAUCAUGAAGGAGGCACUCUGCAUGGGCCAUAUCUAUACAACACCAAAGCGAUGCGUUGUUUUACUUCUCGUUUGCUCACAUAUACAAGGACUUGCCCUUAUUAGCUACCCCCAAAACUGUGCCAAGUGUCCUUCUUGGCUCUAAUAGCGUUUUAAUGUAUUCACAAGUGAGUCCUGCACACGUGUGUCAGGGGCUUUGUGACCCCCGUCCCCAACGAUGUUCACAAAACACUGAGUUCUAAAAUACAGACCUCUGUAAGAUACAUUUUUAAUUACUCUUCCGGGAUCAGUUGCUGCAUGCUUGCUCAGCACAGAAAAAUACCUGUUAGCAAUAUUUCAUACAGGGUUAUAUUUCAGGUUUUAGGGAAAAAAAAUAUCGUCCCUGCUAUCUAGAGACCCAUCGUCAACAUAUCCAAAGUGUUUAGGGCAGAUAUGUGGCAGUAUAUCAGUGAUACGUGUUAGUGUAUCUCUUUUGCCGUGCCUAACUCAUUAUGCACUUUCAUUGUGCUGGCAUAAUGAAAAGGCUGACAGUAAGGGCUUUCGUUACAUCAAAAUCCACCUGCAAAGUAUAUUUCAUUCAUAAUAACUUUUGCAGAAUAAGAGAAACACGAAUACAGCUCUUCCCGAAUAUCCUUAUCUGCAAAAUGAGUGGGUUGGAUGAGUUGGUCUCUAAAUGUUUUUGCAGCCUUAAGGAUUUUUGAAGUUGCUCUAAAGUAUAGAAAUAGAAGAACCAUUCCAGGACCCUGGAAUCCGGAGUCUGUUUUUACCAACAGUUGUCCUUUAAAGUUAUAUUUGAUUCCACCUCCAGGUACUUUAUUUACUAACAUCUUUUGCCUUGCUGCUAAAACAGUAAAGUCUGAAGUUCAUUUUCAGGAAGGGCAGAGACAAAAAAGAGGAACAGCUGAAGAAUGAAAAAAGCUACACAGUGGGAGAAGGAAAUUCUUGGUCUGACUUCUAAGCCCAUGUCCUUCAGCAUUAACACAGAAGAAACCCAGACAAGCACCUGUCUUUCUAUUUUAAGACCAUAGUCUUUGGUCCUUCUGCCUUCAUUUAAUUUCUUGCAGCAUGGUUUUGUUUUACCCCAUUGGGUUGACGGCUUUGAGUUUCACAUUUCCCUUUCCAUUCGAUUUAUCUGAAUCAUGUUAAUAUUCCCUUCAAAACCCACAAAGUCACAUUAACACGCCACGUUUCCCAAAUUAAAUCUUAACAUGUUCAGGACCUCCUGAAAAUUGCCCUGCCCUAUUUUCUAAAGCCACUCCGAAUGUAUAAUCUCUCCUUGAAUUAAGCAAGCCUGCUCUUCCUGGCUUCCUGGUCUUUGAAUGAGCUCGCACACUGCUAUUCCUCCCCGCACACUCUGCUCUCCACCACUGGUACCUUUCAGCAACCUUUCUCUUCUUUCUUUCUUUCUUUCUUUCUUUCUUUCUUUCUUUCUUUCUUUCUCUUUCCCUCCCUCCCUCCACCCUUUUUCUCUCUCUCUCCCUUCCUUCCUUCCCUCCUUCCUUCCUUCUUUUCUUCCUCCCUCCCUCCCUUCCUUCCUCCUUCCCUUCCUUCCUCCCUCCCUCCCUCCCUUCCUUCUUCAGUCUCUCCCUUCCUCCCUCCCUUUUGUUCUUCCUUUCCUCCUUUCUUUCAGUGGGCACCGUAUGUCGUGCUCUGAGCCAGGCACUAGAAAUACAACCACAAGAAACUGACAUUAACUCCUAACAAUUUUCAGUGACUUCAUUCACCCCUGCGUUGCUAAGCACUUCUGUAUCCACAAUUAUUUUAUUUUGCCUUUGGUCUUUAGAUUUAUUUGAAUUUGUCCUUAACGUCCUGUGUUCUUUUGUUGUUUUCCUACGUGUCCUAUUUCAGUAAGUUGCCUGUUGGAUAACCCUGAAGCUUUUCUGACGGAGCUUUUUCUCCCAGAGUGAUUAGCGUGGGGUGCUCACACGCUCAAGCAAUGCUGUUACUUGACUGGUCCUUGAGCGACGUGAAGAGCGAGAAAGUGCUACGUCUUUCUGGUGAUGCAGCAUUUCACGUGGAGUUAGAAAUAGCACGGCCCCCAAAGUAUCGUUACGUUUACUUAUUUUUAUCGAAGAGUCAAUGUGAUAACUUUCUGUGACAUGUUCUGUUAUUUUUUUAGUUGUGUCGAUGUUCCUUUCAGCUGGUCCUAUAGCCCCCCUCCUCAGGAAGGUCUCCCCAGGGAAAGGACAAAAACUUCAGAGACACAGCUGCACUGAUGGACGCUCAAGCCAACAAUGGAGUUGAAACAAAGAAAGAGAUCACCUGAAGACACCUUCCCUGCUAAGCAGCACACCCCAAAUGGCGCAGUUGCAGGCAAUAGAACUCUCAGAACAGGAGACCAUGUUUUCAAGAACCAGACAAAAUUUAACAGUGACAUCUAGAUUUCUAAAGAGCCAAGGACUUUCCCUUCCUUGUGUGUAUUCCUCUGUUUGUAUUUAAAUUCAGUGUGACAUUCAUUUCUAAAAUAUUUUCCCGGGAUGAGUAUGCUCGUGAAGGCAUUGAUGUUUUUACAACAGAAAAUUGCACACAGGUGUUCAUGGGGUAAGGAACAAAAUUAGUGCUAUAAGAACAUCGAUUUUUAGCCACACACCGUUUGAUCUUAAGAGUGACCUGAAGGAACAUAAAGUACUUUCGAAAUACCAAAGUAGUCAGAGGCAAUCCGAAGGAUAACAUAGUGGACAUUAUCCCACCUGACACAGACCAGUCAACCAUUCUUUUAAUCCAGCAAAAUAGGUUCGCUGAGACAUGAUCCCUGCCUCUAAAGAGUUUAAAUUUAAUGAGACCGAGAAACACAAACUUUUGAAAAGAUAGUAACCAAUCAGGUGCAUGGAUGUUAAGACCACAGUAAAACUCAAGAGGUAAUAAGCAAAGAGUUCAGAGGAGGUCACCAUAAUCUGGGCAAACCUGGCCUGUUUAGGGAAGAAAGUUUCCAAAGGAGGAAAACACAAGAUGAAUCUUAAAGGAUAGUAAGAUUUAGGGGCACCUGGUUGGCUCCGUUGGUAGAGCAUGCGACUCUUAAUCUCAGGGUUGUGAGUUCAAGCCCCACAUUGGGUGUGGAGCCUACUUACAAAAAAAGGGGGGGAGAGGUAUUAAAUAUUUAGAUGAAUGGAAAGGAAAGAGAGAAUAGAUUGCUUUAAAUGAAUGCAAUGUGAGCAAAGCCAUGGAGGAAGGAAUCUAUGUGGUGAAUAUUGGGAAUUAUGAGUAUACGUGUCUAGUUGACAUUGAAUGCCAGCAUACAUAGACAUAUACGGUAAGGACUUCGCACACACACGUCCCCUCUCCCACCUUGGGUGUCACCUGGAAAUACCAUCUUAUUGUCCACAAAAGCAAGUGGGAGUGAUUGGUGGUAAUAUGAGAACUUACGAUUUUUCUUUUCACUUAAUAACAAUUAGUAUUUAUCGAGGUCUUAAUGUAUGUUAAGCAUUUGACGUAUGAACGCGCUUAAGCCUACAGCUCAGAACAGCCCUGCAAGAUAGGUACGAUUAUCCCUGUUUGGAAGCUAACAGUUAAUGAGAUUAAGUAACUUGCCAAACUGCCACGCACAGGGUCCGCACUCAGAAUUGUGACCGUAAAUCUCAUGAUCUGAAGCACGAAGUCCCAAUAUUGUGGUCAGUGUUGCAGUGUUACCACUUCCGUAUUCCCCGAUAGUUCUUUAUGGUGAACAAAUAGCUAUGACAUUCAGUUAUCCCCUCAAAUUUUUCAGUUUUCUGCCUAAAUGACAUUAGAACGAUCGAAAGACUUUUCAUAGGAGAAAACUGACAGAAUUGGGGAAGAGAGCUUCUCAGCAUUUUAAGCUUUUGUUUGUUUUUUUGCCAGACGUUGAGGAAACGGUUCGCCUUGUUCUGCACAAAAUCUAAAAUUCCUGAGGAUUAAUAAAGGAGGGGGGAAACUCAAAGGUCAUCUGUUGCAACGUGCUUUUCUACAGACGGCAAAUCAAAGUGUGAGUGGCUUACAGGAAGCUCACACAUUUGAGUGUGGCAGAGCUAGGUCCAGAAACCAGGCUGCCCAGUCUCCUCUCUGAGGCUCUUGAACUACCCCACCCUGCCUACAUGAAGUAUGAACUUGAAUUUGAUCAAGGAAAGUGUUGUGUCUGGGUGAUCGGGGGCGGGGGGGGACUGCGCCUAGCAGGUUGUUUCCACUUUGCACCUGUUUUGCUUCCCACCUCAACGUGAAAACUAGCCAGUUAUGAACUGACAUCUGAUGUAGACAUUGUCAAUGGUCCACCCCCAAAGAACACAUAAUGGCUCAAAUUAUGUGCACCAUAUCUCCAAUGCUAUUCUUAAGUUAUUUGGAAUUCUUAGUUCACCUAAACCAAUCGGGUCUUCUAAUGAGCAUUUCCUUACCCGAUUUUAUGCGCAGUAUGUAUUUGUCAGUGCUUCUGCAUGAAUAUUUAUACACGACUGUUUCAAUAGUCCUUAUGUUUUUGAAAAUAUCAAUGGUUAUUUGCUAUUUUAAUCCUCACUUAUCCAUGUAACUAACUCAAGAAUACUUCAGCCAUAAAAAGCUAGAAGUGAGGAAAUCUCACUCUUUUUCACCGGAUCCUUCGCAUUUAAUUGGCAUUUAGUAAUGAUUAAUAAAGUGGUCAGCUGGAUGACACAGUUCCCAAAUGCAAUUCUGUCUCGAAGGAGUCAGUUAAGCUGCAUCUACUUAAGGACACACAUCUAGACAUUUGGAAGCACCUGAAUAUUUGUUGUAAAUUUCCACUUCAAAAUCUGGCAUUGUCAGACCUAGACCUCCUUGUGGCUCAGGCCGUCCUGUUUUCAAAAUGAUGAUUAUUGGCCAUAUCUCACACAGUUCUCAUUAAGUGAGUAGCCAAGCACAAAAUGUGACUUUGUUGCCAUUUUCUGAGACUUUGUCGUAUGUCCCUUGAAUCCCCAAAUAAAAGCAACGUUGCAUCAACUGUGAA